AAAAAUGAGGUUUUAGUGGCCAAGGGAUAUAACCCAGUGAAUCGCUUCUAAGAUUGCUGCAGCUUUACCAAUCCUCGAGCUCCACGUACCUAACUUGGUCGACAUCCUGUAACCAAGGAUGCUUUCUGUAGUAUCAUCCCAAAACCUGUUUGUAGAGUGUCGUUGAAAAGAGCCAUAUCCACAUUACCUAUGAUUGAGCCCGCCAGUGGGGGAUGCCAACGCAGAUAAUAGUGAUUAGGCAUGAUGUUGUUUGAUUGCAGUUGCAGCUUGGCUUUUUCCCAAUCUGUCAUUUGUUGGAGUCCCUCAGAAACUGCCAUCGCUGUUGUUCUUUGUCUAUUCUGCCAAACGUAGUUAUUUCUUUCCCUCCAUCUACCCCAUAUACCUGUUGCCACCUUUUGACACAUCUCCCUUGUUUGAUUUCUGAUCAGGCUCCACAACCAUUCAUCCAUUUCAGAAUAGGAUGCUGCCGUCGUGGUGAUUAUUGUCUCAAUUCCAAGCUGCUUCCAGUAUUCUGCAGUGAACGGGCAGUUCAAGAAGGGAUGUCAGUUUUCUUCGAAGUCUUUAUUGCAGGUUUCACAAACGUCGGUCACUGGCAUUCCUUUCCGACGCAAUCUACCACGAAUCGGGAUGACAUCCCUUGCCAAGAGCUAGAGCAAGUGAUUGAAUUUAUGUGGGCGAGGUAGGUUCCAAAGACGUUUCCACUCACCUUGUUUAUAAUGCAUUGAUCGAUCUACAUGCUGAUCCAUGUGUAACCAGUAGGCUAAUCGAACAGUGCAGUCACCAUGUUUGUUGUAGUGCCACAUAAGUUUGUCUUGCCGUUUCGCAAUAGUUGUUGGGAUGGAUAAAUCAGUUUACGAUAUUGAGAAAACAUGUCUGAGAAGCGGAUUGUUCCAUUCUUGGGUCGAGUCCAGAAAUAGAGCGUCAACCUGAUCAUCCCCCAUGCCCGUCGGCGCCACUGUCUCUGGGAGAAGGUUCCCGUCAUCCACCGAUAGCCAAUGAUCAGUCUAGAUCCUUAUGUCAGACACAUCUCACCGAUACGC
Molecule: long non-coding RNA, 1040 nt
Filed under: Linum usitatissimum (flax)
Lineage: Eukaryota; Viridiplantae; Streptophyta; Magnoliopsida; Malpighiales; Linaceae
Description: long non-coding RNA (LUSI_LNC002969)
Source: RNAcentral